This 482-nucleotide ribosomal RNA is filed under the name uncultured bacterium. RNAcentral describes it as "partial 16S ribosomal RNA". It matches the Rfam family "Bacterial small subunit ribosomal RNA", at positions 30 to 507 of the family's 1533-position model. The record is from RNAcentral.
ACUGAACGCUGGCGGCAUGCUUUACACAUGCAUGUCGAACGGUAACAGGCCGCAAGGUGCUGACGAGUGGCGAACGGGUGAGUAAUGCAUCGGAACGUGCCCAGUCGUGGGGGAUAACUACUCGAAAGAGUAGCUAAUACUGCAUACGAUCUAUGGAUGAAAGCGGGGGACCGUAAGGCCUCGCGCGAUUGGAGCGGCCGAUGUCAGAUUAGGUAGUUGGUGGGGUAAAGGCUCACCAAGCCAACGAUCUGUAGCUGGUCUGAGAGGACGACCAGCCACACUGGGACUGAGACACGGCCCAGACUCCUACGGGAGGCAGCAGUGGGGAAUUUUGGACAAUGGGCGCAAGCCUGAUCCAGCAAUGCCGCGUGCAGGAAGAAGGCCUUCGGGUUGUAAACUGCUUUUGUACGGAACGAAACGGCUCUGGUUAAUACCCGCGGCUAAUGACGGUACCGUAAGAAUAAGCACCGGCUAACUACGUG